RNAcentral lists this ribosomal RNA (387 nucleotides) under uncultured bacterium. Its description in RNAcentral is "bacterial SSU rRNA". It matches the Rfam family "Bacterial small subunit ribosomal RNA", at positions 32 to 409 of the family's 1533-position model. The record is from RNAcentral.
AAUCAACGCUGGCGGCGUGCCUCAGACAUGCAAGUCGAACGAUUAAAGCUCUCUUCGGAGAGUGCAUAGAGUGGCGCACGGGUGAGUAACACGUAAGUAAUCUACCUUCGAGUGGGGAAUAACAGUCGGAAACGACUGCUAAUACCGCAUAAUGCAGCGGCAUCGCAAGAUGACAGUUGUUAAAGGAGCAAUCCGCUUGAAGAGGAGCUUGCGGCAGAUUAGCUAGUUGGUAAGGUAAUGGCUUACCAAGGCAACGAUCUGUAACCGACCUGAGAGGGUGGUCGGUCACACUGACACUGAAUAACGGGUCAGACUCCUACGGGAGGCAGCAGUCGGGAAUUUUGGGCAAUGGGCGCAAGCCUGACCCAGCAACGCCGCGUGAAGGAU